RNAcentral lists this transfer RNA (77 nucleotides) under Zoogloea sp. RNAcentral describes it as "tRNA-Ile". It matches the Rfam family "tRNA". From Rfam's summary of the family: Transfer RNA (tRNA) molecules are approximately 80 nucleotides in length. Their secondary structure includes four short double-helical elements and three loops (D, anti-codon, and T loops). Further hydrogen bonds mediate the characteristic L-shaped molecular structure. tRNAs have two regions of fundamental functional importance: the anti-codon, which is responsible for specific mRNA codon recognition, and the 3' end, to which the tRNAs corresponding amino acid is attached (by aminoacyl-tRNA synthetases). tRNAs cope with the degeneracy of the genetic code in two manners: having more than one tRNA (with a specific anti-codon) for a particular amino acid; and 'wobble' base-pairing, i.e. permitting non-standard base-pairing at the 3rd anti-codon position. The record is from RNAcentral. RNAcentral also lists the same sequence under 2 other names. Lineage: Bacteria; Pseudomonadati; Pseudomonadota; Betaproteobacteria; Rhodocyclales; Zoogloeaceae.
GGGCCGUUAGCUCAGUUGGUUAGAGCAGGCGACUCAUAAUCGCUUGGUCGCUGGUUCAAGUCCAGCACGGCCCACCA